AACGAGGCCGACCUGCGGCUGAGUUACCUGCGGAGGGAUCAUUACCGAGUUUACAACUCCCAAACCCAUGUGAACAUACCUAUCGUUGCUUCGGCGGAUCGCCCCGGGCGCCUCGUGUGCCCCGGAUCCAGGCGGCCGCCGGGGGACCUUAACUCUUGUUUUUACAGAGAAUCUUCUGAGUCGUUUUUACAAAUAAAUAAAAACUUUCAACAACGGAUCU
RNAcentral lists this unclassified non-coding RNA (220 nucleotides) under soil metagenome. RNAcentral describes it as "partial contains 5.8S ribosomal RNA, internal transcribed spacer 2, and large subunit ribosomal RNA". The record is from RNAcentral.